RNAcentral lists this unclassified non-coding RNA (850 nucleotides) under Hevea brasiliensis (rubber tree). The record is from RNAcentral. Lineage: Eukaryota; Viridiplantae; Streptophyta; Magnoliopsida; Malpighiales; Euphorbiaceae.
GCCAGCGUUUACGAUAGAAAUUCCUCAUACACGGUAUUAUCCCAAACGCCAAAGCGACCGUUAUACACCUGAAUCUGACGCGUCAGCCGACUAACGCCGCCACCGGGACCGCAGAAGUUCCUCCUACCACAGCUACGAUGAGCGUCACCUAUCGUGGACGCUUUCGCUCUGGCUCACCCGAGUAUUCAAGUCCCGCAAGAAAAAGCCCAAGCCCUGGGCCAAGGAAAACAUAUUCUUCGCUGGAAAAGUUCGGAAGGGGGAGCCCCUACCUCGAUCUUGGAGGCUCUCGUAAUGGAAGGAAUUCUAAGCCCAGGGAUACAGGAUCACAUGAUUCCCGGUAUAGGAAGAAGAGGAGUUUGAGUUCUAAGCGUAGGUGCAGGGAAUCAUCUCUGGAUGUAGAUAGUGAAUCAGAUGAGGAUGUGAGAGAGAAUGGGAAUUAAACUGAAUCAGAUUCUGGAGAGGACCGAAGACGCAGAAAGAAGUCAUGGAAAAGCAGCAGCAGUAGCGAAGGAAGUGCAGCAAGAGAAGUGCAGAAGAAGUCGGAAGAGGAAGAAUAGGUACAGUGAUUCAAAUGAUAGCGAGAGUGAAGGAUCUGAAUACGAGUCUAAGAAGCGGAAACGCGGUUCAGGGUCUAAACGCAGCAAGAAAAAGAGGUCGGAAAGGGAGGGUGCCAGUUCAUGCUCGGAUAAGAGUUCAGGUUCUAAAAUAGAUGCAAAGGGAAAAUCAAAGGCUGAUGAGAUGGUGGCUGAAAUUAAUGAUGAGGCGCGGAAGAAACCUGUUUUGGAUAAUGAACCUAUGGUUGGGCCAAUGCCCCUGCCUAGAGCCAAGGGGCAUAUAAAUUAUGGUGGUG